GUGGAGGCCGCUCUCUGCUUCUUCUGCUGCUCCCCAUCACUUCUCUCCUUUUCUCUCUAAGCAUUUCAGAGUCAGAUUCGAAGCAGAAGUGUUGCAUCAGACAGAGUCCAAUCAAGAGUAAGUAGCCUUUUCAUUAGCUCCUACAUCACUCAACAUGGUUUCAAUGGCCAUUAUACCUUGUGGAAGUACAUCAAUUGCUCAAUGGGGAAUUCGUCCUCAGUGCAUGCUAAGACCUUCAACAAAUAAGAUAUCUUCAAUCCAAUAUGGGAUUAGCAACAUAGCUUCAUUGA
This 290-nucleotide unclassified non-coding RNA is filed under the name Hevea brasiliensis (rubber tree). Lineage: Eukaryota; Viridiplantae; Streptophyta; Magnoliopsida; Malpighiales; Euphorbiaceae. The record is from RNAcentral.